GAUGAACGCUGGCGGCGUGCUUAACACAUGCAAGUCGAACGAAGCACUUUAUUUGAUUUCCUUCGGGACUGAUUAUUUUGUGACUGAGUGGCGGACGGGUGAGUAACGCGUGGGUAACCUGCCUUGUACAGGGGGAUAACAGUUGGAAACGGCUGCUAAUACCGCAUAAGCGCACAGCGUCGCAUGAUGCAGUGUGAAAAACUCCGGUGGUAUAAGAUGGACCCGCGUUGGAUUAGCUAGUUGGUGAGGUAACGGCCCACCAAGGCGACGAUCCAUAGCCGACCUGAGAGGGUGACCGGCCACAUUGGGACUGAGACACGGCCCAAACUCCUACGGGAGGCAGCAGUGGGGAAUAUUGCACAAUGGGCGAAAGCCUGAUGCAGCGACGCCGCGUGAGCGAAGAAGUAUUUCGGUAUGUAAAGCUCUAUCAGCAGGGAAGAUAAUGACGGUACCUGACGAAGAAGCACCGGCUAAAUACGUG
This 481-nucleotide ribosomal RNA is filed under the name uncultured bacterium. Its description in RNAcentral is "partial 16S ribosomal RNA". It matches the Rfam family "Bacterial small subunit ribosomal RNA", at positions 28 to 507 of the family's 1533-position model. The record is from RNAcentral.